Long non-coding RNA from Pezoporus flaviventris, 1799 nucleotides. RefSeq lists it as uncharacterized. NCBI's taxonomy places the organism in Eukaryota, Metazoa, Chordata, Aves, Psittaciformes, Psittacidae. The record is from RefSeq and is a predicted model, not a curated record. The transcript is spliced from 4 exons.
UUGUGACUAAAAUGGCAAGGGUUUUUUUCCUGACUAGAAGAACAAAUGGAAGGAAGAUGGCAGUUCUAUGAACACUGAAAGUUCUGAGUUGGGCUCUGUGUUUCAUACACCUAGAUUCAUUGCUAGCUUAGAUUUUCAAAACCUUCAGCACUUUUAUCUCUCUGCAUUCAGAUCUCUCUAUUAUCUGCACUGGACUCCCAAAUUACAUCCCUCUCUCACUCCCAAAGCUUAAGCACUGCUUUGUCUUCCCAGAUACUGUUUUCCAUGUUCUAAUUUGAUUAAGGGCUUGCCUGCACAGGAAAGUUGCACUAUUAAUUUGCAGUUUGCUUUAAAGAAAUUAUGUUAAACCUGGGCAAAAGGCCAUGUGGAUACCCUGGUAUUUCUUUGCAGGAAUACAGACAGUUUCUUUCAGGUUAGAUCAGGUCAAUUAGGAACAAGAAGAACUUGCAAAGCAAUAGAUUUUCCUGCACCAGAACAAAGAGAGUCCAGCAGCUUCUGCAGAUUAUGUCCUUCAAAUGUGAAUAAAGGCUGGCAGCAUGGUCUUGACCUCAGCAGGAGCCACAGUCUGAUGGACAGAGGUAAAAUACCACCAGUCAGUCUCACCAAAGCAGCAGCCAUUAAGUUCUGGGACAUGCUGUGGAGCAGGCUGUUUCACACUGCAGCAACUGCCUUUUUCCUACCCAAGCCAGGCUGGUGCACAGCACUCAUAGAGCAGGAGCAGGGACUGCUGCCUCUGUGCAAGUAUUGGCCUCCACUGCUUUACUACAGGUAUUAAAAUGUAGUCCUUUGCCAAAAACCUACAGUACCAUCUUGCUCAAUAGGAAAAAGCCAUGUGUAUCUGCCUACUGCCCCUCUUUCAACACUGCAUGAAUGCCUUGAGUUCACUGUGUUGGUUUACAAGCAGACCGUAAUUUUAUGAGUGUGCUUUUAACUUGUAGGCAAGCUCAAAGUAACAGAAGGUGAAGACAAAAGAAGAGAGAUUUAUAACAGCAAGAAGAAAUGAGAGAGACCCAUCAGUAAAUCUUGGAUGCUGCACAUUCUUACUGUGAACUGGUUUGAACUGAUUACAUGCCACAGUGGUAGGAGGAGUGAGAACUCCAUACCUAACUUGUGAUCUGGAACAUCUCUAGAGGCAAGAAGAUAAUACAGUAAUGAAAUUUAUCUAAGUGGUUCAGAUUUCCUCUUCAAUUAGUAGCCUCUAGGCUGUUUCAGCCUGCUGGGAGUCAUUUGUGCCAGAUGUGGUAGUGUUUUUGUGAUACAAACAAGACAUUGCAAUAGCAAUGAAUGGCGUUAACCAACUUAUUUCACAUAAAUCACCAGCCUUUUGGAGGCAGGGCAUCCAGGCAGAGUUCAUCUAAUCAGCUGUAGUUGGCUACAUGGAAGACUCUCCAGCCAAGCUAGUCACCUCAGCCCCCUAUUUAUGGCCACAGUGGAGAAAAAGGCACUCUAAGGUCAUGAAUCAUCUCAUCUCAAGGGCUGCAGAAGUGCAGUGGAGGAAACUCACCUGAUGAAUGAGGACAGCACUUUGCUUAAAUCCUCCAUAGGGCCUACCAGAAAGUGAGCUGCACUAAGGGGCUUUGAACUGGUACAGAAGACAAGAAAGGACAAAAUUCAACUCCAGCAACCAGGGAAUAAAGAGUUCAGGUAUUACAAAGUGAAGGUUCUGCAAAACCAGACCGAAAUGCAGAGUUAAAAGUCUCUGCCAGUUCUGGAACAGAAAUUUAGUCUGCUGCUACCACUAGGAAGCAAUAGAAUCUGGGGGAAAAUGGGAAGGGAUCAAGAAGUGGGGUGAGAGACAA